RNAcentral lists this ribosomal RNA (273 nucleotides) under uncultured Staphylococcus sp. RNAcentral describes it as "partial 16S ribosomal RNA". It matches the Rfam family "Bacterial small subunit ribosomal RNA", at positions 89 to 356 of the family's 1533-position model. Lineage: Bacteria; Bacillati; Bacillota; Bacilli; Caryophanales; Staphylococcaceae. The record is from RNAcentral.
ACGUUAGCGGCGGACGGGUGAGUAACACGUGGGUAACCUACCUAUAAGACUGGGAUAACUUCGGGAAACCGGAGCUAAUACCGGAUAAUAUUUCGAACCGCAUGGUUCGAUAGUGAAAGAUGGUUUUGCUAUCACUUAUAGAUGGACCUGCGCCGUAUUAGCUAGUUGGUAAGGUAACGGCUUACCAAGGCGACGAUACGUAGCCGACCUGAGAGGGUGAUCGGCCACACUGGAACUGANACACGGUCCAGACUCCUACGGGAGGCAGCAGCG